This 439-nucleotide ribosomal RNA is filed under the name uncultured bacterium. RNAcentral describes it as "partial 16S ribosomal RNA". It matches the Rfam family "Bacterial small subunit ribosomal RNA", at positions 338 to 795 of the family's 1533-position model. The record is from RNAcentral.
CCUACGGGGAGCAGCAGUGGGGGAUAUUGCACAAUGGGCGAAAGCCUGAUGCAGCGACGCCGCGUGAGUGAAGACGGUCUUCGGAUCGUAAACCUCUGUCUGUGGGGAAGAAAAUGACGGUACCUAACGAGGAAGCUCCGGCUAACUACGUGCCAGCAGCCGCGGUAAUACGUAGGGAGCAAGCGUUGUCCGGAAUUACUGGGUGUAAAGGGAGCGUAGGCGGGGUGGCAAGUAGAAUGUUAAAUCCAUGGGCUAAACCGGGGGCUGCGUUUUAAACUGCUGUGCUUGAGUGAAGGAGGGGCAAGCGGAAGUCCUAGUGUAGCGGUGAAAUGCGUAGAUAUUAGGAGGAACACCAGUGGCGAAGGCGGCCUGCUGGGCUGUAACUGACGCUGAGGCUCGAAAGCGUGGGGAGCAAACAGGAUUAGAUACCCCAGUAGUC